This 594-nucleotide long non-coding RNA is filed under the name Homo sapiens (human). RNAcentral's name for it is "non-protein coding LINC00635:46". Lineage: Eukaryota; Metazoa; Chordata; Mammalia; Primates; Hominidae. The record is from RNAcentral.
AUAGCAACAGCAGCGUAGCUGAACAUCUUACGGAUGGCCCAGGGCUCCAAAGGCUCGUUUCCUAAGUGAGAGAGAGCCUGGCUGAAGCUGUAUUACCAUUCAUUCUCCAGCCUCCGAAGUCUCAAAGCAUCACUUCCACCAUACUCUAACUGUCAAGACAAACACAAAGGCCCAGAAACUGCCAGACUGUCUUCUGAAGUGGCUAUAAUAUUUACACUCCCAUCAGCAGUGUAGAAGGGGUCUCACUAUGUUGUCUGGAGUGCUGUGGUGGAGUGGAGUGGCUAUUCACAGAGCCUGUUCUGCUGGGACACAGAAUCACUUGCUCCAUCUCAUACAUUGAUGAUGAUUAAUUUGUAUGUGUACCUUCCAAAAAAGAUGGUUGUGUUUGAAUGGAGGCCUUCUGGACAGGAAAAUAUGGAGAGUGCGUGCUUUGGAUUCAAGACUGGGAAUGAGGGGACCAGAAACCUAUUCUGUGGCUGUUUCUUGUUAGGACUUUCCUAAGCCUCUGGAAAAGACUAAUCUUUCCAAGUUCAUCUGAGGCUCCUCUUCUCCAUGACAACCUCAUCCAGGGAUUUCUUCCUGUCCUGGUGUUUU